UUAUUUUUUUUAUUUUUUUAUUUUUUUUCUGAGAUCUACGAACCAGAAGGAGAUGGAGUUCGUAGAGAAAGGAGAAGAAGCGACGGCCGCUCGUCACCACCAUCGCCAUCUCUCCCGUCCCCCAUCGCUCGUCACCACCACCAUCGCUUCUCAGAUCCGUCUUCACCGGAGUCGCCACCACCACCGCCACGCUCGUCAUAACCACCAUUGAAGUCCAAGAGGAAUGAGUAUGCCAAAACUAUCUCCCAACGUUUGCAACGUAUUGUUUUAACUUGUCUGAUUUGUUUUCUAUCAUUCUGUAAUUUUUAUGUGUUUGUUCGCUACAUGCUCGUAAGAGACCAAGGUUCUGAUUUGAAAGAAUCAAUCUGCCUCGUACGUUGUGUUCUUGCCCUUCCUCUUCAAUCCUUCAGGUUUCGAGUGGCAGAAGAUUGUUGAUGAUUAGACUGAUCGGAACAGCUCACGAUUAUCUAUCAAUACGUACUUGUUUAUCAUCUCACGACUACAGAGAAGACUAAACUUUCUGGUAUGUAGACAAAACUUCCAGUCUAUAUAGCUCUUAAUCUGUGUUUAAAAAGGCGCUCGCCUUGAGCCUAGGCGAUAGCUCCAUCGCCAUGCACAUCCCAGGCGAGGGUAUGGUCCCUAAGGCGCUCGCCUAGUGCGCUUUGGCCAUAAGGCGGUGCCUUCAAAAGCGAUGCAAAGGCGCGCCUUGGAGACCCUAUGUUAACCGACGCUAAACCAGUUUCAAGUGGUCUUCAAGGCGAGCGCCUCGAUGCGCCGUGGCGCAAGACGCAAGGCACAUACUUCAUCGCCAUGGAGCGCCAUGCGCCUUUUUAAACACAGCUCUUAAUAUUGGUAUAUUUGCUUCGAUCACUGGUUUAUGGAGUAUCGUGGCUGACUGUUUUGGUCAGGUUGAUAAAGGAGCUAAUAUUCUUGAAAUUUGUCGCAAUCAUUGUGAUACUGAUCACACUUGCUCGCAUGACUGCUGCUACUUGCUCUUUUUGGUUCUUUGCUGGAUAAAUUGAAAGACUUGCGUUUAGCAUCUGAUCACUCUUCUUUGCGUGUGUUUCUGCAAGUAAAAAUGCAGGUAACAUUUUCCCUUUAUGAGUCUGUGCAAUAAGCUUGACGACAGAGGUGGAAAGGCGGCGAGGUGGAUGGGACGAGGUUGCUGUGAUGGAUGGGGCGGAGAGGCGUCAGAUCUGAAGAAGCUAUGUUGUGGAGAUGGCAGAGGAAGCUAGCGGUGGUAGUGGUGGCGGCACUAAAAGAUAAGAGCACUAGAAGAUAGGAGAUGAAUUUUAGGUUUAGUUAAAAAUUUGGUUUAGUUUAAUAACACAUUCAUAAAUAUGUAAACAAUUUCAAUAUAUAAAAUUUAAUUUAAUU
Molecule: long non-coding RNA, 1377 nt
Organism: Brassica oleracea var. oleracea
Lineage: Eukaryota; Viridiplantae; Streptophyta; Magnoliopsida; Brassicales; Brassicaceae
Exons: 5
Source: RefSeq, a predicted model, not a curated record